Molecule: small nuclear RNA, 169 nt
Organism: Artibeus jamaicensis (Jamaican fruit-eating bat)
Lineage: Eukaryota; Metazoa; Chordata; Mammalia; Chiroptera; Phyllostomidae
Product: U1 spliceosomal RNA
Exons: 1
Source: RefSeq, a predicted model, not a curated record
AUACGUACCUGGCAGGGGAGAUACUGUGAUCGUGAAGGUGGUUCUCCCAGGGCAAGGCUUGUCCGUUGCACUCGGGAUGUGAUGACCCUGUGAUUUCCCCGACUGUGGGAAACUCCACUGCGUGAUUGGUGGUGGGGGGGGGAGGGGGAUGAGAGUUGCUGAUACCAUU